This 82-nucleotide transfer RNA is filed under the name Pyrenophora teres f. teres 0-1. RNAcentral's name for it is "tRNA-Leu (CAA) (tRNA-Leu-CAA-1-1)". It matches the Rfam family "tRNA". From Rfam's summary of the family: Transfer RNA (tRNA) molecules are approximately 80 nucleotides in length. Their secondary structure includes four short double-helical elements and three loops (D, anti-codon, and T loops). Lineage: Eukaryota; Fungi; Ascomycota; Dothideomycetes; Pleosporales; Pleosporaceae. The record is from RNAcentral.
GACAAGUUGGCCGAGUGGUUAUGGCGUGUGACUCAAGUUCUCAUGGGCGUAGCCCGCGGGGGUUCGAAUCCCCCACUUGUCA